CUACGGGUCGCAGCAGUGGGGAAUAUUGCACAAUGGGCGCAAGCCUGAUGCAGCCAUGCCGCGUGUAUGAAGAAGGCCUUCGGGUUGUAAAGUACUUUCAGCGGGGAGGAAGGGAGUAAAGUUAAUACCUUUGCUCAUUGACGUUACCCGCAGAAGAAGCACCGGCUAACUCCGUGCCAGCAGCCGCGGUAAUACGGAGGGUGCAAGCGGUAAUCGGAAUUACUGGGCGUAAAGCGCACGCAGGCGGUUUGUUAAGUCAGAUGUGAAAUCCCCGGGCUCAACCUGGGAACUGCAUCUGGUACUGGCAAGCUUGAGUCUCGUAGAGGGGGGUAGAAUUCCAGGUGUAGCGGUGACAUGCGUAGAGAUCUGGAGGAAUACCGGUGGCGAAGGCGGCCCCCUGGACGAAGACUGACGCUCAGGUGCGAAAGCGUGGGGAGCAAACAGGAUUAGAUACCCGGGUAGUC
RNAcentral lists this ribosomal RNA (464 nucleotides) under uncultured bacterium. RNAcentral's name for it is "partial 16S ribosomal RNA". It matches the Rfam family "Bacterial small subunit ribosomal RNA", at positions 339 to 795 of the family's 1533-position model. The record is from RNAcentral.